UACGUAGGGUGCAAGCGUUGUCCGGAAUUAUUGGGCGUAAAGAGCUCGUAGGCGGUCUGUCGCGUCUGGUGUGAAAAUCCAGGGCUUAACCCUGGACCUGCAUCGGGUACGGGCAGACUAGAGUGCGGUAGGGGAGAUCGGAAUUCCUGGUGUAGCGGUGAAAUGCGCAGAUAUCAGGAGGAACACCGGUGGCGAAGGCGGGUCUCUGGGCCGAUACUGACGCUGCGGAGCGAAAGCGUGGGGAGCGAACAGG
This 253-nucleotide ribosomal RNA is filed under the name uncultured bacterium. RNAcentral's name for it is "partial 16S ribosomal RNA". It matches the Rfam family "Bacterial small subunit ribosomal RNA", at positions 524 to 776 of the family's 1533-position model. The record is from RNAcentral.